UACGAAGGGGGCAAGCGUUAAUCGGAAUUACUGGGCGUAAAGGGUGCGUAGGCGGUUCGUUAAGUCUGUUGUGAAAUCCCCGGGCUCAACCUGGGAAUGGCAAUGGAUACUGGCGGGCUAGAGUGUGUCAGAGGAUGGUGGAAUUCCCGGUGUAGCGGUGAAAUGCGUAGAGAUCGGGAGGAACAUCAGUGGCGAAGGCGGCCAUCUGGGACAACACUGACGCUGAAGCACGAAAGCGUGGGGAGCAAACAGG
Molecule: ribosomal RNA, 253 nt
Filed under: uncultured bacterium
Lineage: Bacteria
Description: partial 16S ribosomal RNA
Rfam family: Bacterial small subunit ribosomal RNA
Source: RNAcentral